Molecule: microRNA precursor, 193 nt
Organism: Oryza sativa Indica Group (long-grained rice)
Lineage: Eukaryota; Viridiplantae; Streptophyta; Magnoliopsida; Poales; Poaceae
Rfam family: MIR812 microRNA precursor family
Source: Rfam
CCUGGUUUUCGUGUUCAACGUUUGACCGUCCGUCUUAUUUAAAAAAAUUAUAAAAAAAAUAAAAAGACAAGUCAUGCAUAAAGUAUUAAUCAUAUUUUAUCAUCUAACAAUAAUGAAAAUACUAAUUAUAAAAAAAAUUCAUAUAAGACAUACAAUCAAAUAUUGGACACGGAAAUCAAGGGUUUAUCUUUUU